This 749-nucleotide ribosomal RNA is filed under the name Hymenobacter miniatus. Its description in RNAcentral is "Hymenobacter sp. BT523 partial 23S ribosomal RNA". It matches the Rfam family "Bacterial large subunit ribosomal RNA", at positions 1 to 751 of the family's 2925-position model. The record is from RNAcentral. Lineage: Bacteria; Pseudomonadati; Bacteroidota; Cytophagia; Cytophagales; Hymenobacteraceae.
AGCGAAGUAAGAAAGAGCACACGGGGGAUGCCUAGGGUCUCAGAGGCGACGAAGGACGCGAUAAGCUGCGAUAAGCUGGGGGCAGAGGCACAUACUCGUUCAUCCCCAGAUUUCCGAAUGGGGCAACCCCCUGCCUGGAAGAGGCAGGAACCGACCCGCUUGACGGGCGGUGGCAAACGCCGGGAACUGAAACAUCUAAGUACCGGCAGGAAAAGAAAAUAACAAUGAUUCCCCAAGUAGUGGCGAGCGAACGGGGAGGAGCCCAAACCGGGUUGGUUACGGCCAAUCCGGGGUUGUAGGACCACGACAUCUGACUAAACCGAGUUAGCCGAAGCUGUUGGGAAACAGCAUCAUAGAGGGUGAAAAUCCCGUAGGCGACAAUUCUGGUUUACGGUAGUGGUAUCCUGAGUAGGGCGGGGCCGGAGAAACCCCGUCUGAAGCUGGCGGCACCAUCCGCCAAGGCUACAUACUCCUGAGACACCGAUAGUGAACUAGUACCGUGAGGGAAAGGUGAAAAGAACCGGGAAUACCGGAGUGAAAAGAACCUGAAACCGUGUGCUUACAAGCAGUCAGAGGGCUUUAGUGGCCUGAUGGCGUGCCUUUUGCAUAAUGAGCCUACGAGUUACUCCUCCCCGGCAAGGUUAAGUACUUUAAGGUACGGAGCCGCAGCGAAAGCGAGUCUGAACAGGGCGCGCAGUCGGGGGGGGUAGACGCGAAACUUUGUGAGCUACCCUUGAGCAGGUUGAAGG